GUGCCAGCCGCCGCGGUAAUACCGGCAGCUCGAGUGAUGGCCACUCUUAUUGGGCCUAAAGCGUCCGUAGCUGGCCGCGCAAGUCCGUCGGGAAAUCCAUCAGCCCAACUGAUGGGCGUCCGGCGGAAACUGCACGGCUUGGGACCGGAAGGCUCGAGAGGUACGUCCGGGGUAGGAGUGAAAUCCCGUAAUCCCGAACGGACCACCGAUGGCGAAAGCAUCUCGAGAAAACGGAUCCGACAGUGAGGGACGAAAGCUAGGGUCUCGAACCGGAUUAGAAACCCGAGUAGUCC
RNAcentral lists this ribosomal RNA (293 nucleotides) under uncultured bacterium. RNAcentral describes it as "partial 16S ribosomal RNA". It matches the Rfam family "Archaeal small subunit ribosomal RNA", at positions 455 to 747 of the family's 1478-position model. The record is from RNAcentral.